This 339-nucleotide long non-coding RNA is filed under the name Elaeis guineensis (African oil palm). RNAcentral describes it as "long non-coding RNA (EGUI_LNC079351)". Lineage: Eukaryota; Viridiplantae; Streptophyta; Magnoliopsida; Arecales; Arecaceae. The record is from RNAcentral.
GCUGGGAGUGAAGCAUCACCAACUAUCAGAAAAGAUUAUCGGUUUAACUUAUCUCAAGAGAAGAGAAAUCUAGAGAAAGAAAUUUAGCGGCUACUCGAUGAUCGGAUCUGAAUAGCAGCCUAGAGAGAAGAAGAAUACUAAUAGCACUAAAGCUCUAGAAGAAAAGGAAUAGAGACUUUCGAGCAAAAGGGGUUUAAUCAAUGCAAGUGAGAAGAGAGGAGGAAAAAAGGAAAAAGAUUCUGAGGCAUGACACCUAGAAAAGAGAAGAAAACUUGACAAUAAGAGAAGAGUGGGUGUCGGCAACGACGUCAACAACACUGAAAAAAGGAAGAGAGAGGC